Molecule: ribosomal RNA, 253 nt
Filed under: uncultured bacterium
Lineage: Bacteria
Description: partial 16S ribosomal RNA
Rfam family: Bacterial small subunit ribosomal RNA
Source: RNAcentral
GACAGAGGGUGCAAACGUUGCUCGGAAUCACUGGGCGUAGAGGGCGUGUAGGCGGCCAGGUAGGUCUGCUGUGAAAACUCGAGGCUUAACCUCGAGCUGUCGGCGGAAACCAUCUGGCUAGAGUCCGGAAGAGGAGAAUGGAAUUCCCGGUGUAGCGGUGAAAUGCGCAGAUAUCGGGAAGAACACCCGUGGCGAAGGCGGUUCUCUGGGACGGUACUGACGCUGAGACGCGAAAGCGUGGGGAGCGAACAGG